UGUUAUUCUUAAGGAGAAUUAUUUUUGUUCGGUGUAAAGGAUAGAAAUUAUUUCGUCUUAAUGAUCACUUUGGGCAAGGAUAGUAACAAAAUGUGCUAACGCACUGGGAGGUAACAAGUAAUGGAACAAGGUACAGUAAAAUGGUUUAACGCAGAAAAAGGUUUUGGAUUCAUCGAGCGCGAAGGUGGAGACGACGUAUUCGUACACUUCUCUGCUAUCCAAUCUGAAGGUUUCAAAUCAUUAGACGAAGGUCAAAAAGUAUCUUUCGACGUUGAGCAAGGCGCUCGCGGACCACAAGCUGCUAACGUAUCAAAACUAUAAUAUUAGUUUUGUUUAAAGAAGAAGGUUCCUAUGGGACCUUCUUUUU
RNAcentral lists this non-coding RNA (367 nucleotides) under Mesobacillus selenatarsenatis SF-1. Its description in RNAcentral is "Bacillus selenatarsenatis SF-1 cspA thermoregulator". It matches the Rfam family "cspA thermoregulator", at positions 137 to 428 of the family's 428-position model. The record is from Rfam by way of RNAcentral. Lineage: Bacteria; Bacillati; Bacillota; Bacilli; Caryophanales; Bacillaceae.